CCGCAAGCCCAACUUGCAAACUGAAGACAUAGGGUAAGCAAAAUCCCACCUCUCCCACCCAGAAUCCAUGCAAUUAAAUAACCAAUCUUAUAUCCAGCAUCCAAUCUUCGGUCAAACAAAGCCAAUAGACUGCUGAAGGCAAGAGAUAAUCGAGAACCAAAUAUUUGAAGUAAAAACAGAGAUAUGAAGACAGAUCUAAGCAAAUCACUAAAGGGGCCUCUUUCUUGAUCCAAGUUUCCUUCUUCAGCCACCUCUUCUGUAUCACUGUCAGCAGAAGAGUUCUCCUCACUUGCAUUAUAAU
This 301-nucleotide unclassified non-coding RNA is filed under the name Hevea brasiliensis (rubber tree). Lineage: Eukaryota; Viridiplantae; Streptophyta; Magnoliopsida; Malpighiales; Euphorbiaceae. The record is from RNAcentral.